CAAUUAACGUUAUGUUGGCGUGUGUCUGUCGACCUUGCCUAACGUUAGUCCCGAAUCUUUGUUGUUCUGCCUGCGUGCGUGGAAGACUCAGAUUACGAUUGUCUUUUUUUUCCAGAUUUCCAAUGUGUCAACCACUUAAAAACAAUUUAGAUACUAACUAAACCACUUAAUUGACAUGAUCUGACACGUUUGCAUAUUUGUUGUGGAUAUUUUGGACUCAAUUGGGUUAGCUUGCGCAAAAAUAGUAACCGCAACGUGUCUCGCGAAGGUCAUCGAAUGCACGAUGCAUAUGGGAUAAAGGCUCAGAAGUUCCCCUUCUCUCUUGCCAGUCAAGAUGGGAGGAGCUGUGAGCGCUGGCGAGGAUAAUGACGAGUUGAUUGACAACUUGAAGGAGGCACACUACAUCCAUUCGGACCUGGUGGAGCGGGCCUUCAGGGCCAUCGACCGGGCCGACUACUACCUGGAGGAGUACCGUGACAGCGCCUACAAGGACCUGGCCUGGAGGCACGGCAACAUCCACCUAUCAGCCCCCUGYAUCUACUCKGAGGUGAUGGAGGCCCUGGACCUUCACCCUGGCCUGUCCUUCCUCAACCUGGGCAGUGGGACUGGGUACCUCAGCACUAUGGUGGGACUCAUACUGGGUCCAUUUGGUGUGAACCAUGGGGUGGAGUUAUAUGCUGAUGUGAUUGAGUAUGCCUACCAGAAGCUAGACUACUUCAUCAAAACCAGCGAAAGCUUUGACAAGUUUGAGUUCUGYGAACCUUCCUUUGUGGCGGGGAACUGCCUGGAGAUCCCCUCUGAGAGCAGGCAGUAUGACAGGGUGUACUGUGGGGCGGGGGUGCAGAGAGACCAUGAAGAAUUCAUGAAGAGCCUGCUGAAAGUGGGGGGAGUUCUGGUAGUGCCCUUGGAGGAGAAGCUGACMAAGAUCAGGCGUACAGGCCAGAGCAGCUGGGAGACCAAAAAGAUCAUUGCUGUGUCCUUCGCUCCACUGGCACUGCCCCAACAAAACACCAACGGUGAACCCAAGACCGUCCCACUACCCAUGUUUGAGGUGCGGACGCUGCAGGAGCUGGCUCGUAUAGCCAUCCGCCACACCCUGAGAGUGACCACGGACAACGGGGAGGGUCAGCCACGGGGUCAGGGCUCUUUUGGAGGAGGCAGGGGCCUGGGGGUCAGUGGGCUCCACAAGUACGGCCCACGUUUUAAACGCCGGCGUGUUCACCGCCGCCACUGCACCUCUGUAGUACUGGCACACAAGCGUGUGGUGAGCAAUGCUGACCCCACCCCUGCUCCCCUGGACAACAACAACAAUAACCACGGGGGGCAGGAGGAGGGGCAGCGAAGGGUAGCCCGGGAGGAGGAGGAGGAGGAAGCAGAAAAGGAGACAGGGGAGCUACUCCCAGCAGAGCCACCUGUAAACAUCCUGAGACAGAGGAUUCUCGUUUUGCCCCUCCCGGAGCCUCUGAAGAUGUACCUGCUGUACUGCCGGGAGAAAUGACUUCUCCACAGAUACAGAGACCCAGCAGAAACCAACAACACCUGACUGGGUCUCUGUUACUGACUGGGUCUCUGUUACUGACUGUGUCUCUGUUACUGACCCCUGACUGUCUCUGUUACUGACCCCUGACUGGGUCUCUGUUACUGACUGGGUCUCUGUUACUGACUGGGUCUCUGUUACUGACUGGGUCUCUGUUACUGACCCCUGACUGGGUCUCUGUUACUGACCCCUGACUGGGUCUCUGUUACUGACCCCUGACUGGGUCUCCAUUACUGACCCCUGACUGGGUCUCCGUUACUGACUGGGUCUCUGUUACUGACUGGGUCUCUGUUACUGACUGGGUCUCUGUUACUGACUGGGUCUCUGUUACUGACUGGGUCUCUGUUACUGACUGGGUCUCUGUUUCUAAUCUGGAAUGUAAUCAUGGCUCUACAGUAUUUGGCGUUUAUUUCCGCUAUAGGUCCAUUUUCAUCUACAUGCUUUUGUAUGGAUAGGAAAUGUUGGUUCAUUCAAGAGAUUAUACUUUUUGAUUUUAUGGAUUGAUUUUUUCAGUAACAGAGACCCAGACUCACUGUUUCUUACUCUUUUCCUGUCACUGUAAGAAGGAGACAUAUUUGACCAGUAUGGGAAGGGUUUCACCUUGGGGAUAGAAAGGCGUCUCUAGGCUUUCUGGUACUCAGUAACUUAGCUUUCUCAAUGGUGCAGAUGUUUUAGACAGCCAAACAGAUCAAUUAUGUUAAUAGUUUUGUUUCAGUAGUUGCGAAUUGAGGAUCUUUGUGAUUUCACUUUUUCAUUCAACCCAACAUAAGUUGUUUCCCCCUUAAGCUGUGUGUGAGAAUGGAAUACAUUAUAUAUUCUGUGCUGAGUGAGCCCUAGACCUAUGGUGGUGUCUGUUAUCUGGUUGGAAGACGUGGCUCUACUUAUUGGACAUCACCUGCAGCCACAUGUCCCAGAGCACGUUGGUCCAGAUCUUCUGUACUACGAGAGACUGGAAGAACCCUCUGAGAUUGCUAUCGAGCCUUGUGCUUCAUAAAUGGAGAGACUGGGGGAGAAGAUGGGAUAGUGUCAGAGUGGAGGAGAAAGUUUGUCAUUUAAGUAGUUUCCAGAAGCCAGAGAGAUGUUUGACCUCUGAUGCAGAAGUGGUGUAGAGGUG
Molecule: non-coding RNA, 2651 nt
Organism: Salvelinus sp. IW2-2015
Lineage: Eukaryota; Metazoa; Chordata; Actinopteri; Salmoniformes; Salmonidae
Source: RefSeq, a predicted model, not a curated record